This 253-nucleotide ribosomal RNA is filed under the name uncultured bacterium. RNAcentral describes it as "partial 16S ribosomal RNA". It matches the Rfam family "Bacterial small subunit ribosomal RNA", at positions 524 to 776 of the family's 1533-position model. The record is from RNAcentral.
UACAGAGGUCUCAAGCGUUGUUCGGAUUCAUUGGGCGUAAAGGGUGCGUAGGCGGCGCGGUAAGUCGGGUGUGAAAUCUCGGAGCUUAACUCCGAAACUGCAUUCGAUACUGCCGUGCUUGAGGACUGGAGAGGAGACUGGAAUUUACGGUGUAGCGGUGAAAUGCGUAGAUAUCAGGAGGAACACCGAUGGCGAAGGCAGGUCUCUGGGCCACUACUGACGCUGAGAAGCGAAAGCGUGGGGAGCGAACAGG